ACAAACCCAAUUUGUAAGUCGCUCUGGAUAAGAGCGUCUGCUAAAUUAAGUAAA
Non-coding RNA from Salmo salar (Atlantic salmon), 54 nucleotides. The record is from Rfam. Lineage: Eukaryota; Metazoa; Chordata; Actinopteri; Salmoniformes; Salmonidae.